CAAAGCGAGUGGUAAAUCAGAGAAGAUUACAAUCACAAACGAGAAGGGUCGUUUGAGCCAAGAAGAGAUUGACCGGAUGGUGAAGGAGGCUGAGGAGUUUGCAGAGGAGGACAAGAAGGUGAAGGAGAGAAUUGACGCCAGAAAUGCCUUGGAGACAUACGUGUACAACAUGAAGAACCAAGUGAAUGACAAGGACAAGCUUGCAGAUAAAUUGGAAGGUGAUGAGAAGGAGAAGAUCGAAGCAGCAACCAAGGAAGCCUUGGAGUGGCUCGACGAGAACCAAAACUCAGAGAAAGAAGAGUACGAUGAGAAGCUCAAGGAGGUAGAAGCAGUGUGUAACCCAAUCAUCACAGCAGUUUACCAGAGAUCAGGCGGAG
This 377-nucleotide long non-coding RNA is filed under the name Capsella rubella. RNAcentral describes it as "long non-coding RNA (CRUB_LNC001744)". The record is from RNAcentral. Lineage: Eukaryota; Viridiplantae; Streptophyta; Magnoliopsida; Brassicales; Brassicaceae.